This 89-nucleotide transfer RNA is filed under the name Bryobacterales bacterium. Its description in RNAcentral is "tRNA-Leu". It matches the Rfam family "tRNA". Rfam says of the family: Transfer RNA (tRNA) molecules are approximately 80 nucleotides in length. Their secondary structure includes four short double-helical elements and three loops (D, anti-codon, and T loops). Lineage: Bacteria; Pseudomonadati; Acidobacteriota; Terriglobia; Bryobacterales. The record is from RNAcentral.
GCUGGAGUGGCGGAAUUGGCAGACGCACUGGACUCAAAAUCCAGCGCCCUUUACCGGGCAUGAGGGUUCGAGCCCCUCCUCCAGCACCA